AGAAAUGGAAAAGACCAACAUUAUUCCUGCCGUGAUCAUUGUUAUUCUAGCAUUCAUUGUAGGUGUGGGUCUGGCUGUAUGGUAUAUUUUAUAUAGGAAAGGUAAGAUGCAAGUUGGCAACUAUAUUGUUCGAUUGUUUUAAAGUAUACAGAGUAAAUAAGUAAAGAAUAAUCUAUAGUAUAAACCAGAGAUGUUUCAGUUCCAUUGUGAGUUGAUUGACUUAAAUACAGUAAAUGAUUUGUGGAGAUACACAAUAGUGUGUAAUAUAGGGAAUAAAAAAAAACAACUAAUAACAUUUAGUACCCAAACUCUUACUACUCUUGGGCAGAAGCAAUGGCUAUAGUAUUCAUCAGCCCAAAUAUAUAAACAAAACCUAAAUAAGUCACAAGGCACUAUCUGAAAUCCCUGUAGACAUUUAAAUAUCAGAUGUUUUUCGUAAAAUUUUACAUUUUCACUUAUACCAUAAAAAGUCCAGUUUAAGCAGUUUGAUAAACAGAUUAGACACCCUUAGUGACUUUUCCCCAUUCUAUGUGUAUGUAUAAUAAUGAUUAUGUUCAUGUAUUUUCACAGUGCCACCAGUGCUUUCAAACAUUACUGGAAAUGAAAGUCUUGUUCAUAAGAAUAGAGCGACUCUGUCGUGUCAAAUCACAAAUUUCCGACCAAGAGCAAUUGAGAUUUCUGUAUAUCUGGAAAGGGUAGGGGGAAGCCUAGUGAUGGUGGGCCAGUGGAAAUCGGGGGAGCAACUCAGCAAUGGAAAUAAUACAGCACCAGAAACAAACAUUAUCCAGGGAGAUUACCAACUGGUUUCUGUGGUAGGACAUGAAGAUGGGCUUAGUAACGGCAGCUCAGUUCUGACGCCACCAAUGCAGCUGGAACUAAUUGCUGAAAUUAAAACAAAUAAAACGAACCGCACCUCAAGCUGCCAGUGUUCUAUUCAUUUAACUCCAGACAAAGAUGAAGAUAAUAAUGCGCGUCUGUCGUUGCAAGUGAGACAUGCAUCUCUGAAGGAACCACAAUCAAUAUGCUGUGUGCUGAAGGUGAAUGGAGGUAAGCAUGAAUCAUUAAUUGAUCUACUUAAGAAAAAUAAAAUUGUUAUAAAUCUGUAACAAUAGGUAGAGCUUCUCAGUCAAAUCCCCUGCAGUAAAAUGCUUAAAAUAUGUGAGAAAAGCUGAUUUAUCUUAAAACAUUAUAAGCUAUUGUUGGUUUUUAACUAAAGCAGGAAUUUUGGAAAAACCCAUAGCCUAUAAAAAUGGAAUUCUUUGUUAAGCCACAAACUGAGGAGAACUGAGAAGAAAUUAUGUUUAAUGUUUUUGUCUUUAAAUGAUUUUGGCAAUGAUUACUGCAAAAGACAUGGUUAUUAUAUAAACGUAAAGCUGUGUUUAUCUAUCUUUAGUUCCUCCAAAGUUAUCUCAAAUCGUGGCUCCUCUGCAAAUAGUCCACAAAGAUUACCUGACCCUCACCUGUGCCAUAAAUGGGUUUAAGCCACGACCGUUGACAGUCACAUGGUUGAAAGUGGAUGCUGCUGAUGACGCUGGUAACAAGACGAAACUUCUGUCUUCUGAUCAGGAUGGACUGCCAAUACAAUUUGCCAAAUAUUCUCACAAACGACUUGAAACGGCCAAUGAUGACGACCACACGUACAGCAUUCUAAGUACUCUGACCAUGAAACCCACCAUAAAAGAAGAUCAUGGUGCAAAAUAUAUCUGUAGGAUCUUUCACCCUUCCACAGGCAAAUCUAUAGAAAAAAGUGUGGAUAUAGAGGUUUCAGGUGCGUUACCAUGAGAAAAUAUAAUCAUUUAUAUAUUAUAAUAAUAUAACAUAUUGAGUAUUAUUACUUUCAGUUCUUUAUAAAAACUCAGUGUCCAAAUUGCUCCCAGCUACCCAACUAAACAUUAUACUAGACUCAGAGAAAUUUCUUAUGCUGUGAGGCAGGGAAUAAAGAGUCCUGCCCAACUGGAUGUAUUUUUCAAAGCUCCCCAGAGGAAAAGGAAUAUGCUUAAAAUAACAUGGAUAUUGUGCUCAUUUAUUGAUUUUCUUUAGACAUACAGUUGCAAGAAAAAGUAUGUGAACCCUUUGGAAUGAUAUGGAUUUCUGCACAAAUUGGUCAUAAAAUGUGAUCUGAUCAUCAUCUAAGUCACAACAAUAGACAAUCACAGUCUGCUUAAACUAAUAACACACAAAGAAUGAAAUGUUGCCAUGUUUUUUUUGAACACACCAUGUAAACAUUCAAAGUGCAGGUAAAAAAAAGUAUGUGAACCCUUGGAUUUAAUUACUGGUUGAACCUCCUUUGGCAGCAAUAACUUCAACCAAACAUUUCCUGUAGUUGCAGAUCAGACGUGCACAACGGUCAGGAGUAAUUCUUGACCAUUCCUCUUUACAGAACUGUUUCAGUUCAGCAAUAUUCUUGGGAUGUCUGGCGUGAAUCGCUUUCUUGAAGUCAUGCCACAUCAUCUCAAUCGGGUUGAGGUCAGGACUCUGACUGGGCCACUUCAGAAGGCGUAUUUUCUUCUGUUUAAGCCAUUCUGUUGUUGAUUUACUUCUAUGCUAUGGGUCAUUGUCCUGUUGCAACACCCAUCUUCCGUUGAGCUUCAGCUGGUAGACAGAUGGCCUUAAGUUCUCCUGCAAAAUGUCUUGAUAAACUUGGGAAUUCAUUUUUCCUUCGAUGAUAGCAAUCGGUCCAGGCCCUGAAGCAGCAAAGCAGCCCCAAACCAUGAUGCCACCACCACCAUACUUCACAGUUGGGAUGAGGUUUUGAUGUUGGCGUGCUGUGCCUUUUUCUCGCCACACAUAGUGUUGUGUAUUUCUUCCAAACAACUCAACUUUGGUUUCAUCUGUCCACAGAAUAUUUUGCCAGUACUGCUGUGGAACAUCCAGCUGCUCUUGUGCAAGCUGUAAACGUGCAGCAAUGUUUUGUUUGGACAGCAGUCGCUUCCUCUGUGGUAUCCUCCCUUGAAAUCCAUUCUUGUUUAGUGUUUCACGUAUUGUAGAUUCGCUAACCGGGAUGUUAGCAUUUGCCAGUGACUUUUGUAAGUCUUUAGCUGACACUCUAGGAUUCUUCUUCACCUCAUUGAGCAGUCUGCGCUGUGCUCUUGCAGUCAUCUUUACAGGACGGCCACUCCUAGGGAGAGUAGCAGCAGUGCUGAACUUUCUCCAUUUAUAGACAAUUUGUCUUACCGUGGACUGAUGAACAGCAAGGCUUUUGGAGAUACUUUUAUAACCCUUUCCAGCUUUAUGCAAGUCAACAAUUCUUAAUCGUAGGUCUUCUGAGAGCUCUUUUGUGCGAGGCAUCAUUCACAUCAGGCAAUGCUUCUUGUGAAAAGCAAACCCAGAACUGGUGUGUGUUUUUAUAGGGCAGGGCAGCUGUAACCAACACCUCCAAUCUCAUCUCAUUGAUUGGACUCCAGUUGGCUGACAUCUCACUCCAAUUAGCUCUUGGAGAUGUCAUUAGUCUAGGGGUUCACAUACUUUUUCCACCUGCACCUGCAAUGUUUACAUGGUGUGUUAUUAAUUUAAGCAGACUGUGAUUGUCUAUUGUUGUGACUGAGAUGAUGAUCAGAUCACAUUUUAUGACCAAUUUGUGCAGAAAUCCAUAUCAUUCCAAAGGGUUCACAUACUUUUUCUUGCAACUGUAUAUGGACACUACAUGCUGAUAGACAGCAUUCUUUGUGCUCAGAAACAACAACAAGCAUGGUUCAGCACUGGAGAGAUACUAGUAACAUUUAAGAAGGCAGCUCAGACAACCCAGGCCGGAGUCUCUCUUACCUGGAUGAAGUGGAAGUAGUAAGGUGAAGAAGCUCUGGGAGAAGCACAUUAUUAUAGUGUCUGAUUAUAUAUGCAACACAAGAUGGGAGGGCAAAGAAAAAAAUAUUGGGUAGUAUAUUACUUGUGGAUCAGAAGUGAAAAUGAUGCACUUACAAGAGGUCGAGUUGAAAAGCUCCUCUUGAUUGCACUUAAGCGGUAUAAUCCCCACCUGGAGAUAUUGCAGUGUGUCUCUUGGACUUGGUAGAUCAUCCAAAGGAUAUGGAACAAAACACAGCUCUGGUGGUACACUCCGCACCUCGGAGAAUGAACACUUGGAAUUAGUAACUUUAUUAAGUGGAAGACUAUAAUUAACAUAUUAAAACAAUUACAUUAAAAGUUACAUGACACAUUUCACCACAGCAUAGGGCUUUUUUCAAGUGUUACAGAGACCUGGACACAUAGCAGUGUUUAUAGCAAUGCUAAUAAUUUAAAUGUUCGUGGUAAAAUGUUGUGAUGACAUCACCAACAUGUGGCAUAAUUGUUUUAAUCUGUUAAUUAUUAUAUUCCACUUAAUAAAGUUACUAAUUCUUCUAACUACCCUGUACCAUUCUGUCUAUCAUGGAAGUUCCAAUAUCUCCCCCGAUGAUCGUUCUCCUAGGUGGGGAGUUUACCACCAGAGCUGUAUGGAAUGAGCAAAACCCUGUUUUGCUCUUAAGGCAUAAGUGUAUUUUCAUUAGCUUUACCACUUAACUUACACAGUGUGCACUAUAUAGCUGUUUACUGUUUUUAAAUAUGUUGCAUAGAAGAUACCACAUCACCUAUACCCAUAGAGUGGGGAUUAUACUACUCCACGCAGUCAAAAGGAGCCAUAACUUUAGGCUCCAAUAAAUGUCAGUGUAUUUCCUAUUUUUUAUGUUGUUUUGUGAUACUUGGCUAUUAUAAAUACUACACUAUAUAGUGUCCACUCUUGUGUUUUAAUCCAUAUCCUUUGGACCACCUACCAAGACCAAGAGACACACUGCAAUAUCCUUAGCUGGGGAUUAUACCGCUCAAGCGCAAUCAAGAGGAUCUUUUCAGCUCCAUCCCUUUCUCUUCUGAUACACAAGUUGUAUUAGAUACUACACUAUAUUACUUUUUUCUUUGCCCUCCCGUCUUCUGUUACAUAUAUCAUCGGAGGCUAUAAUGAGGCUCUACUCCCAACCUCUUCACCUUUCUACUCUUUGUGUUCAGCCUAAAGGAGUGUAGAAUUUGUAUGUAGUACAAUUGAGUAAGAAAUGGCUGACAUGGAAACUGUAUCGAUACCCGGAUCCUUGAGUUCCAUCCCUUACGCUUUCUAUCAUCGCAUCCAUUUCUGUAAGCAGUCCUAAAGAUUGAGGAAGUGAGACUACAGAGUCUUGAUUAAAAAAAAAGGUGUAGGUGUUUUUUCAAGUGUGCUGGGAGGCUGUAUAAGCCUUAAACAAGAUGUGGCUAGGGAUGCCUUAACAAAGCGAUUUAACACCUAAAUGGCAGAGAAUUGAGCAAUGAGAUUGCAGGAGCAUGAUCUAUGCCCGAAAACUGCUUCAUUCCAGGGGCAUUAUAGGCAUCAAAACAACUUUAUCUUAAUUAAGCAGCUUUGUUAUAUAGAUCAUGACAUUACAUGUCCCUGCAGUCUCACUGCUCAGUUCUCUGCCAUUUAGGAAUAAAAUCCCUUUUGUUUCUGUUAAUGCAGCCCUAGACACAAUUUUUCUUGCUGUGACUUACACGGUCUGCAUAAAAUAUAUAUAUAUUUUUUGCAUUUUUAAUCAGAUGUUAACGUGCUUUAGAAGCUUUUGUCUUCUUCUCUGUAAAUUGACUUUUAAAGGACAACUAUAGGCACCCAAACCACUUCAGCUUAAUGAAGUGGUCUGGGUGCCAGGUCCAUCUAGGUUUAACCCUUUUUGCUGUAAACAUAGCAGUUUCAGAGAAACUGCUAUGUUUACUUUAGGGUUAAUCCAGCCUUUAGUGGCUGUCUCAUUGACAGCCGCUAGAGGCGCUUCCGCGCUUCUCACUAUGAUUUUCACAGUGAGAAGACGCCAGCAUCCAUAGGAAAGCAUUGAGAAUGCUUUUCCAUGGACUGGCUGAAUGUGCGCGCGCAUUCAGCCGAUGACAGCGAAAAGGAGGAGGAGAGUUCCCCGCGCCGAGGAAGCCUGGCGGGGGAAAACAGGUAAGAUUUAACCCCUUCCACCCCCUAGAGCCCGGCGAGAGGGGGACCCAGAGGGUGGGGGGGGGACAUAGAGACCCUAUAUUGCCAGGAAAACGAGUAUGUUUUCCUGGCACUAUAGUGUUCCUUUAAUCACACCCAGGAGACUCCUGCUGGGUCUGGAAAGCUAUUAACAGACAGGAGAUAAUAAAUUCUAAAGUAAACAGACUGUGCAAUAAAGGAAAUGUAAACAUUAUAGCAAGUGUUUAGAAAAGCUGUGUAAGUCACAUGCAGGGAUAUGUUAUUAGGGUUGUAGAAACAAAGUGAUUUAGCGCCUAAAUGACAGAGAAUUGAGCAGUGAAACUGCAGGGACAUGAUCUAUACACCAAACCUGCUUAAUUAAGCUAACAUUGUUUAGGUACCUUUAGUGCCCCUUAUAGUUAAAUUUGUUUUGGUAUUUAUAGUGUCUUUUUGCAUUACUUACAAUUCACACUUUAGUGAAUAAGCCUGAGUGAGGUUUCUAACACAACAAUACUUUAAAUACAUAAUUACAUUAACAUGUACAGAUAAGUCAUUACCAAAGAAAUCCCACUUCCACCAUCGAAGUAUUUAUUUUCUUUUUUACUGUCUUUAGCUAAACCAGUGCUGGAUCCAAUUCAGAGCAACCAUGAUGAGACACAAGAACCAUUGAAUUUGGAGAAUAAUAUUGAACUCUCAUGUCGAAUUCAUUCCUAUUAUAACCGGACACUAACCGUUACCUGGUACAAAGGCAACACUAUCCUCCCAUUCAAAAACAGUGACAUACUAACUGAUUCAAGUGGACUAUUUUACUUUACCAGUAACGUAUCAUACAGGCCUCAAAUAGAGGACAUUGGGAAGGAAUUUAGGUGUGAAGUUGCCCAUGAGAGUCUUGAAUUCCCUAUAAAUCAAAGCUGGAAACUGAAAAACCUGAGUGAGUAACAUCAAUAAUUACUGUGGGAUCCUUAAUUGGUGCCAAAAAGUGAUGUUAGGUUAUUUGUAGUUUUCAAACUGCAAUGGGGUUACAUGUGAAGGGUAGUGAUGUCCCGAACGGUUCGCCAAACGGUUCGCAAACGGUUCACCACGGACUCAUCAUUGAGUAAACUUUGACCCUGUACCUCACAGUCAACAGACACAUUCCAGCCAAUCAGCAGCAGACCCUCCCUCCCAGACCCUCCCACCUCCUGGACAGCAUCCAUUUUGAAGCUGCAUUCUUAGUGAGCUGUCCAGGAGGUGGGAGGGUCUGCUGCUGAUUGGCUGGAAUGUGUCUGCUGACUGUGAGGUACAGGGUCAAAGUUUACUCAAUGAUGAGUCCGUGGCGAACCGUUCGCGAACCGUUCCGCGAACCGUUCGGCGAACCGUUCGGGACAUCACUAGUGAAGGGAUUUUCUAAAACCUAUAGAUGUGUAAAAUCCACCAUGACUUCUAAUUCAAAGCCUCAAAAUUUGUGGAAGGGACAUUAUAGUCCCUGUCUGUUUAACCCUGCAGUGUAAAACUUAACGUUUUCAAAAAACAAAAAAUUGUUUACAUUGCAGGGUUAAAUCCAACUGUAGAGGCGCUUUCUGUUCCCUAAAGGAAUUUUACUUCAUUAAAUGACAUUAGACGGCCUCAUGCUUUGCAUAAGGACAUAUAUUGUCUUCAAAUUCCCUAUAGGAAAGCAUUGAUAUAAUGAAUAGAGAUGUCGCGAACUGUCCGCCGAACUGUUCGCGAACUGUCCGCCGGCGAACAAUAGCGUGUUUGCGUUGGGCGAACAUAUCCGAUUUCCGGUCCGCCCCCUAUACAUCAUCAUUGAGUAAACUUUGACCUGGAACCUCACAGUCAGCAGACACUUCCUGGGAGGGAGGGUCUGCUGCUGAUUGGGUGGAAUGUGUCUGCUGGCUGUGAGGUUCCGGGUCAAAGUUUACUCAAUAAUGACGUAUAGGGGGCGGACCGGAAAUCGGAUAUGUUCGCCCAACGUGAACACGCUAUUGUUCGCCGGCAGACAGUUCGCGAACAGUUCGGCGGACAGUUCGCGACAUCUCUAAUAAUGAAUUCCUAUGGGGAACCUUUAAUGUGACUUUGUGGGAAGAGGGUCCUUUAACAUUUGCAUGCCGGACAAUGGGGUGACCAAAUAAGUUAGGGAAGGGACACUAUAGCAUCAGAAAUACAUGUUUGUAUUCCUAACACUAUAGUGUCCCUUUAAAGGGAGACUCCAGACUCGUAAAGAACUUUAGUUUGCUGAAAAACUUUAUGUGUGCAGAGUGUGUCCUCUCUUUUUCAAUUUACAAAAAAGUGCAGAAUUUAAUAGAAACUGAGACUUUGAUAAAUGAACCUUGUUACACCUCCCUGGCUGUCAAUCAGAUAACCAGUCCUGUCACUUCCUGGUUUGUUUAGCUCAGUGAAAAACUGAAGAGGCAGCAAUUGCCCAGAGCAUCUGCCUUGCAAAGACUUCUCAUUGAGCUGCAUUAGGAAGUCUGUGUUUGGACAGCCACAUAAAGUCUGGACUGGGGAAGAUCUGCAGCUUUUGCAAGCAGUUUUUAAGUAUAACCCAAGUGAAAAAAACGCAUAAAUGUUUUCAUAUGUACUUAAUAUUGAUUUUAUUUUCAUUUGUUAGAGGGACCUAAGGUCUAUUUACAUUUGAGCACCCUCCCCCCAAAAUAGUGAACUAAAGAAUUAUAAUUUACUUAAUGCCUUGUAUUCCACAGACACUGCCUCAUAACAUCAGUGAUUGCACUGCUAAAACUGCCGGGAUAGUCUCUUUGCCACAGAACUACUACAUUAAGCUAUAGUUGUUAUGGUGCAUAGUGUCCCUAUAAGGACAAAACACAAAAGUUUAACUACAUGCCAUCUUUAAAAAAAAAAAAAUAUUUUUUUUUUUAGUACUUUAGUAAGAGAUUUGUAGACAUUUUAAUUUUCAUUUCAAAUCAAACAGAAUCUGAAAAUCACUGUACUAGAAAAUAAAGUGAUUAUUAGGAAAUUCUGAUUUUCUUUUUUAACAUGUAAUAUUAUUUUUUCCUCGUCUCCUUGGCACUGUUUCUAAAGCAGCUUGCAGCAUCCCUGAAAGCAUGAAAGAUUAGGGGGGAAAAUAGGGAGGGAAUAGCGGGGGACAAGUAACACUUUAAUCAGACCUCCUGCAUAAGUGCUCAGACCUCAACAACAUGCCAUUUUGUUUUAUUCAGCUUUCAUAUGCACAAGGGAGAAAUUAUGAGGUUCUUCUUUAAAACAAACAUACAUUUCACAAUAUUUUAUUCACUUAAUCACAAGUUGUAAGAUAUGUUUUAUUGCUAAUUCUGUUGAUAAUUUUUCUUUAACCUGUUAAUUUGUUACUGUGGAACCCCCGAAGUUUCUAAUGUAUCCACCUUGACAUUUAUAUCUUUCAGUCUCUAGGCCAAAACUAAGUGAGAUACUAUGUCAACCUGAAAACCCUGCUUGUAGGAAACCAGUCACUUUAUCAUGUACAAUCAGAGACUUCUACCCUGAGGACAGUGACAUUAAAUGGUAUCGGGGUUCAAAGGAGUUAACUAAUGAAGUAGAUACUGAAAAUGCCCAAAAAGACACAACUUCUGGCUUAUUCUCCAGAACCACAAAUCUGCGAUUUACACCUUCAGAGGAAGAUCAAAGUGCACAGUUUAUUAUGAGACUCUAUCACUGUGGAAAAAACACAGAAAAGAAAUUUAGCCUGAAAUUAGAAGGUAUGCCAUAUCAUUAAUAUUGUUUAUACUAUAUAUAACGUAAUAACAUGCUGCUGCCAGGCUGAUUUCUCUCUGCCAUCGCUCCUCUCACACUUCACCCCUCUGUCAAUCUUUACAUUGACUACCUGAACCCUACUAACCCUUACCUAUACAGCUCUAAACAACUUUACCCCACAAUACAUUUCUUCACUGAUUCAUAGCUAUGCAAUUUCUUGAUCGCUCCACUCUUCUGGUGACCUUCUGCUGUUUGCUGCUCGUACCCUUACUGCUAACUCCUUUGGAGCAGCCUGCAUACUCCUAUCAGACUCUCCCCUUGUCUUCAAUCAUUUAAGAAGCCCCUCAAAUCACAUCUCUUCAGAAUAGCCUGUGGCCUGUGGUUCCUAGAGGAACUCAUAGAGCAACUUUUAUUUCACAAAUUUAUCUUUCACGCUCCCUUAAAAGGCCACACUCCACUCUCACCUUCUAAUUCUGCUACUUUCCCACCAUGUCGCUUGAUUGCUAUCCCCCAUGUUCCCCUUCCAAUUGUGUUUUUAUACACCACCUCUUCUAAAUUGUUAGCUCUUUUGAGCAGGGUCCUCAUCAAUCUAUUGUUCCAGUAAUAUUUUGUAAUUGUGUCAUUUAUUGUAAAAUUUCCCCCUCUCUAAUAUUGUAAAGCAUGGUGACAUAUGUUGGCGCUAUAUAAAUGCUAAUAAUAAUAAUAAUAAUAACAUAUCAUGCAGAGUGCUGCUGGGAGAGAAUGUAGUCACAUUUUGGGGUCUAUUUGCAAAGGCACUUUGAAAAAUGUAUAAAUGUGUAUAAAUUGCUAUAAAACUACAAUCAUUAAUUCAUGACUUUUAUUCAGUAUUUCAUACAGUACACAAUACAUAAAAUGUUUCGAUCUCACAGGGCUUCCAGUUGUUAAGAAUGUCACCUGUGAUACAAUUAAUAUAAAGUAUGAAGAUUCGCUGACUCUUCGCUGCGACGUAGUAGACUGUAAUCCCGCAGAUAUCAGCGCUGAAUGGUUAGAGAAUAAAACGCAGAUUAAAAGGAAUGACAGAGCAAUGACUUAUGAAAACCACCAGGAAAGGUGGAAAUCAUUUCUGCUCCAAGUAAUCCCUACAGCUGAGGACUACGCAAAGAAGUAUACCUGUUUGGUAAAACACAAGGGUAUGCAAACACCGCUCGGGAAAGCAUCUACAUUAUUAAAUCUUCCAGGUAUGAGCAUGGGUUUCUGUAAUGUAUGUGUGUAAACUUUUCAGGUGCUCUGUGAGUAAGAAAGUUAAUAAAUGUGAACAUUGUUACAAAGGUUUUUUGUAGAAAGGGCUGCGGAUGGAUAAAUAAAAAUGCUACAUUUUCUUUUGACAUUUUCUUUUGUGACCUAAUGUUAUAUUAAGGCACAUCUGCCAUGUCAAAAAGAAUACAAUUUAACCUUUACAUUGCCCCAACCACAUUCCCACUGAAUGUAUGGGUGAAAAGGAUAUUCUCUUGAAGAGUAAGUAACUGUAUAUUUUAAUCUGAAAUGUUGCCAGUUCAAUGUAUGAAUUAAAGGCACAGCAUCGCUCUAAAGAUUUGCCUGUAUUUGGUAAUGUUGAAUAGCUGCCAUAAACAACAAUUCCUGCCUCCCAAGGAUGUCUGAAAACAAUUGCUGAUUUCAUUUUCAUUUCCAUGAAUAAAAAAAACGUUAUUGUGAGUAAAGGACAUAUGUGGAUAAAAAGUGGAUCAUAGACCACACAGAGAGGAGGAUUAGUAGACUUAGUAAAGUUGGGCUUUGAGGUCUCAGUGGAUGUCAUAAUUAUCUCUGUACCAAACCAUUUUAACCGUUAGAACUCCGAAAGACCUCCUCUGACGGUUCUAGUAAUGAAGAGAUUGCCACUAUGAAGCCAGCAUUGUUUAUGCAAUUUAAUAAUUUUUUUUAACUAUAUAGAUUUUUUUCAAAAAAAUUAAAAAAAUUUUAUUGCAUAGAGCAGUCACAGAGGCAGCAAGUUAGGUUGAGCAGCAGUUGGUCAGAAAACAGUAGAAUAUGAGCCAACAUUGCUGCUUACCUAGAUAAAAAGUCAAAUUUAUCAAGAAAUUCUAAAAAAUGAGAAGCGAAAAUUUGAUAACAGUGGAUUCGCAGUUUUCCAGAUCUACUUGUUACAAUACCCUUAUAUUAUACCUUUUCCAUUGAAUAACCAUAUUUUUCCAUAUUUAUUCUUCCAGAAAUAUCACCUACUUUAUCAGAGAUCACAGCUUAUCCACUAAAGCCUGAGGUCAAUACAGAAACCACUUUUACAAUAAAUAUAUCAGGGUUUGCUCCAAAGCACAUAGAAGUGAAAUGGUUUAAAGAUUUCAAGAUCUUAACCGAAAAUAUUAUAACAUCGGAACAGAAAAUUGGAAAGGGCGGUUUAUUUUUCUGUACAAGUACAGUGAAAUAUAUCCCAGAAGGGAAUGAUAAGCAGAUUCGUUGUGAAGUGCUUCAUGGGUCCAACAAGAAAAGGCAAGAAAAAUGCUAUAUGUUGAAUUUCAAAGGUAGGUUACUAUGCUUUCCCACAUUUGUGUUUUAUUUAAUCAUUUAAUAUUUACAAUGUAUGUAUUGCGUGAUAAUGUAUUUCUUACAGAACAAUGCAAUGAUGUGAUGGAUAGACUGUUUUACCUUAUAAUUAAUAAGCAGUGACACCAGCAGUUGUCUGUAAUAACUUAUAAUCUAUGAGUAACAAUGACAGCAUUAGACUGUAAUAACUUAUAAUUAGCAAGUAGUGAUGUCAGAACCAUCCUGUAAUUACAUAUAGUAGAUGAAGAGUUAUGUCAGAACUAUACUAUAAUCAUUGAUAUAAAUAUUCAUGUCAGAGCUAGAUUGUGAUAAAUUAUAGCCAACGAGAAGUGAUGUCGAUGUCAUAACUAGACUCUAAUAACUUAGUCAUAACUUAGUACACGACUAGUGAUAUCAAACCAAACUUUAAUGAGUUACAAACAAAUAAUCAUGAUGAAAUAUACUGUAAUAAUUUAUUUAUUCCAGAAAUAGUCUGUUAUAACAUAAACAAAAUAAGUUGUUUUGUCAUGUCUAGAUUAGUGAUGUCAAAGCUAUAAUAAUAAUAACCUGUAAUCAGCAAGUCACUGGUGUCAGAACUAGUACCUUAAAAUCAAAGUGUAAAUAUAUUAUUAAUAGAAUAAUGCAUCAUCAGUGAUUAGUGAUGUCAGAACUAGACCAAUGUGUAAUGAGAUCAUAUCUAGAUUUAUGCAUAAUUAAUGAUUAGUGACAUCACAACUCAAUGUCAAUAUCAUGUCAUCUGUGGGUAAUGGCAUCACAUAUAAAACAUAUAGAAAGGGAUUAGUCAUCCUAUUUAAAACAUAUAACAGAGGGUUCGUUACACAUAAAGCACACAUUUGCAUUAUCCUGUUUAACACAAUAAAGUAGAGGCGACAAUGCAUGUUUUUAAUAUACACCAUAUACUAGUUAGCCACAACAUUAAAACCACUGACACUGACAUGUGAAGUAAAUAACAUUGAUUAUUUUGUCACAGAGGAACCUGUCAAGGGGUGGGAUAUAUUGGGCAGCAACUGGACAGUGGGUUCUUGAAUUUCAUGUGUAAAAAUGGGCAAACAAACUGAUCUGAGUGAAUUUGACAAGGGCCAAAGAGUGAUGCUAGAUGACUGAGUCAUAGCAUCUCCAACAAGGCAAGUCUUGUGAGGUUUUCCCGAUAUACAGUGGUAGUGGUUGUAGCAGACUCCAUUCCCUUAUGUUCGGUUGUCCAUGCCCCCUUGUUCGUCUCCUGAAUGACUGGUGUGUGGUUCCCUUGUUAUGCCCCAGUAAACACCAACCUCCCCUGGCUGUUAACCACAAAUUAACAACUUGACACCUUUGCUUGAGCGCUUUCCUUGGGUGGCCACCAUUCAUAUAACUGAACGGACGUGGUCCAGUGCAAUGCAGUCACUUUGUCUCCUGAACGCAGACAGCAGUAACUGGUCGUCAAAUGCAUGGAACUGUUUUCAGACUCGCAUCUCCGCGAACCUAGGCAAAGAUGCCACCGCUGCCCGUCCCACUUCCCGACCAACUAGACAAAAGGCAUUCAGGAGAUAGGAUUUACCGAACAGGGGGAGCAUUCACUCCAUAGCAGCCAGGGGAAGCAUUCGUUGGUGUUCGCACAGGAACCCCCGAAAGCCAACUGGCCAUCCUGCCCAAUUCUCUGGAACAGUUUUGGGCUAUCACCACGUGGCCAGUCGGUCAAAACUUUAUUCUAACAUAACUUUCAUUCUACCGAACCAAUCUGAGCGCUUUUUGGAUAUGUUGUGCGCUCAGAUCAAUUCGGGAAUAUGAUUUUUGUGGGGUUCCUAUAUUCUUUUCUGGUAUUUUUGGAAUAUUGUAAAAUAUGUAUGUAAGUUUCUGUGUUUGAGAGAUAAUUAGGCAUGUGCAUGGGGAAAAGUUUCGGUUCGGUUCGGCAUUACAAAAUUCAGGAUUUUUGCAAUUCGGGACUUCGGCAAUUCGGCACUUCAGCAACUUCGGAACUUCGGCACUUAGUAUUAGUAAAUUUUGCCCCUUCUUGCUAUACCGCGAGUAGGGGCAUGUCUAGUAAACAGUGAGCAGCCUGUGGCGAAGCGUGAGUGGGGGCUUUUAAACUAAAGGGGGGAUCUAUUGCCCCCCCGGCCCCCUCCCCUGAGCGGCGGGUGGGUGCCCUUAAGUAAAAUUAUGGGGGGGUGACCUAUUGUCCUCCCCCCUGGCCCCCACCCCUGAGCUGUGGGUGUGGGCCCUAAAUACUAAUAAGGGGGGACCUAAUGUCCUUCCCCCCGGCCCCCACCCCUGAGCGGUGGGUGGGGCUCUAAAUUAGAAUAAGGGAGGGACCUAAUGUCCUCCCCCCUGGCCCCCACCCCUGAGCAGUGAGUGGGGGCCCUAAAUACUAAUAAGGGGGGGACCUAAUGUCCUCCCCCCUGACUCCCACCCCUGAGCGGUGGGUGGGGGCCCUAAAUACUAAUAAGAGGGGAACCUAAGGUCCUCCCCCUUGGCCCCCACCCCUCAGUGGUGGGUGGAGGCCCUAAUUACUAAUAAGGGGGGGGGACCUAAUGUCCUCCCCCCAUGGCCCCCACCCCUGAGCGGCGGGGACCUUUUUUUUCUUUUUUUAACAGGGCUGCUCACUGUUUAAUAGACAUGCCUCUACUCGCAGAAUAGCGAGUAGGGGCAUAAUUUACUAAUACUAAGUAAUCUUUAGGUCUUUCAGCCUUUUAGUAGAUAGCUCCCUAAAAUAGUGGGAAUUAGGGAGUUAUCUACUUAUUCAUUCCUGUCAUUACAUUGACUGGCUAACUAACUUACAUUUUAUAUGAAUGUAUGUUACUUGAUUGUUGUAAGUGUUGCAACUGCUUACAGCUGAAUCCUGGCUAUGUUUGUAUACUUUUUAUUUAAAAUUGUAUACAAUGUAACAUUCUUCUUCUUUCACUGGGUAAAUAUAUUACUACUAAGGCAAUACUGUGCUUCAGAACUUCGGCACUUUUGACACUUCGGAACUUCGACACUUCGGAAAUUCGGUAAUUUUGGACCUUCGGGACCUCGGCAAUUCAGCACUUCGGCAAUUCGGACAUUCGGAAGUACCCGAAUGUCCAAAUUGCCCGAAAUUCGUCCGAAUACAUAUUCGCACUGAAACGAAUUGCACAUGUCUAGAGAUUAUUGAGUUAUCCUAAUUUGAGCUCAAUUAUCUCCCAAACACAGAGGCUCUUGGGAAGAAACCCCUGUGUUCUUGAUAUCAAAACCCCAUGCUAGUGGCCAGUGUAUAAAAGCUGUGUGUGGUAGAUUAAACUUCAGUUGUACUCCCAGAACUGUGUAGUGCAGUUACUGGGGAGGAGGUGGGCUAUUUACUUGGGCCCAGCAUCAGUGGUACCUACCAAAAAUGGCCGGCGUCAGGGUUAUGAGUGUCCAAGGCUCAUCGACGGAGUGAAGGCUAGCCCGUCUGGUCCAAUCACAUAGAAGAAGAGCUACUGUAGCUUAGAUUGCUGAAAACCUUGGUGUCAGAAUACACAGUGCAUCGCAAUUUGCUGCAUAUGAAGUUGUGUAGUCGCAAAUUGGCCAUGAUCACACCUGUCCAUUGCCGAAAGUGUCUUCAAUAGUGACAUGAGCGGACAUGUUGUGGCUGAUCAGUGUAUAUACCAUAUAACACAUAAGAGGGGACACAUUAUAUGAUAUAUAUUUAAAUCUAAACCUAAAAUUAAACCAUUCACCUUAAUCCUAUGUUUAACACCUCAUCUACCCCAAUACUAAAUAACUAAAUUAACCCAACUCUAAUCCUAAACUCAAUAAUCCUAAACAGGCUCUGUAACACAAUUUCAACCCCUUUAAACCUGUUAAUCAUAUUAACACAAAAAAAUCCUAUCUAAUCUAACACACAUUAAAAUGUGCUUUAAUUAUUCAAGCUAAAUGAAGAUAUAUUUAAUAGACUUGUGCAUGGCGACAAAAUUUGUUAUUAGUGGAUUAGAAUAAGAAGAGUAACACUUCCAAUUUUCUGGAGUUUAUGAUCAGCUCCAGAUACGUCGUAAGAAGAAAAAAAAAAGCCCCAGAAAAUAACAUUAAUACCCAAAAUACUGUAAGCAUUAAUGCUUAUUACCAAAUUUGAAUAAUAAUGAGCAAAAUUAUAAAAGUACCAUAUCACGCAAAAUAUUCACAUACCGAAAACCUUUCUAAUAACCGCAGCCUCAAGCCCUCCCCCACACUUUCUUGUUACAAAUCAUAACCUCCAUCAAAAUCGAAAGAAAAAAAAUAUCUACAUAAUCCAAUAAUCAGAACAAUAAUUAUCUGGAAAAAAAAAUUAUGUUCUGCGCAUCAAGUAUAAUUAAAUGCCUAGAAGAAGAGUAUCUGCUCCGUCGGGAUUAUGUAUUAGUUCCCAAUAAUGUAGGAGGCCCUUUUGUCCAGCCAUGCCUUCGCAUCUCCUGGCUUCUGAAAAGAUUUCCUUUUACCUUCAUCUUGGAUUAUCAAGCAUACCGGAAAAUUAUUUAAAAGGACUUAAUUAUUUGUCUAAUAUAGAGGGAUGAGUCUCGCAAAAUUAAAAUAUUUUUAAAUCUCAUACCUCUUUCAGUAUUUACUCUAUUUGUUUUUAGGACACCUUCUUUAUAUUUGGGGUUGAUAGAGAAACAUAUCAGCUCUCUUUUUGCAUUUUGGGGAUGAUAGAGAAACAUACUAGCUCUCUUUUUGCACAUUGUGCACCUAUAUUUAAAAAAAAAAAAAAAAAAUUGUAAAAAUUCUCUAUUUUGUCUUGGGAGAUGUCCUCUGAGAUAUUCCAGAAAAGUAAAUUAAGGCGUGUGGACCUGACUUCCAGGUCUGAAAUUUUUCUUUCCAGCGUAGAAACAUUGUAUUCCAACUUUACAAUCUGAAUCGCAUUCUCUUUACUUGUUUGAAAGGAUGAGUAAAUUUUUUCUUCCAUCUUCUCCACACGGUUACUCAGGGCUAUAAUAUAAUUUUUAAUUCCCUUAGAGUUCACUCGAAUCUCACUUUUAAGUUGUUCUAAAAGUUGUGAUUUUCCAGCUGUAGAGAGGUGACUCCUUGCUCAUUCCUUUCUGGAGAAUUUAUCGGACGGUGACUCCUCCAAGAUUGCAGGGCCUAUAAUACCACUUUAUGCUCCUUGUAUAGAGGUGUCUGCAGUAUUAUCCAAGACUCCUUUGUGUGUUAUCUGGGAGGAAUUUGUUUUUCUAUCUUUUGUGUUAUUUGUGUUAUUUGUUUUUCUAUCUUUUUUUGGCAGUUUCCCAGGUUUUCUGUUAGUCAUUUUUUGUCAAUUAAUUUUCCAGCUUUUUCCUAAAUCCAAAUUGCAGAUGGUAAGGAAGAUCUACCCCUCUCUCUUACCUCCUCUGCUUCUAAUAGCAGACAUUUGUAAAUAUUUCACAGGAAAUAUUAUAAGCAAAGUAUUUGUUUCAGAGUAUAAAUAAACAAUUAUGAUUUUUUUUUUAGUUGGUUAUUCAGCAUUAUUCUGCUUUCUACUUCAACCUUAAUUAGAUCUCUUAUCCUUGAUGACAGGCAAAUAACAGUUUUUACUAUAAGUCAAAUCAUAUAAUUUCAAACAUGUAACUUGAUCCAGACAUUUAGACCAUAAUUAGCCUUUACACUGCUGAUGGUCAGGGCCGUCUUUAACAUUAAAUGGACCUUUGGCAAGCAUUUGCUUAGGCCCCUGGAUCCUGCCUCCCCCUCACACUUGCACCCCCUGACAUGCGAUCAUGCCCUCCACCCCAACACAGUGGCAGGACGAAUGUAGAGACGGCUCUGGUGCAAGACAUUUUUUGGGCCUCCCCUCUAGCUCAAGAGUGGAGAAAAGAUAGAUUCUCAUCUGUCGUACAGCACCCACAAUGCCAUGCCAGCUGGGAAUUUACAAUUUGGACAUUCUAGCAGGGCUGUAUUUGAUGGCAGUGUUUGUGCAUUUGAAUGUGAGCAUGUUUUUGUAUAGAGUAUGUGUGUGCAUGUAGGGUGUAGUAUUGGUGUUUGAUUGAAGGGGUGUAUUUAUAUAUACUUUUUGAAUUUGAAUUCAGGGGUGUGUUUGCAUGUAAUGUUUGUGUUUGCAUGUUGUGUUUGCUGGGAUAUAUGCAUAUGCAUUCUAUACAUUCACAGAUCUACAUACACAUUAGCAUGCAGAAACACAUGAACACACAUGGACACAUGCACACACUGACACAAACACACAAGCUCAUACACUAGGAUACACACAGAUACAGUCACACACAAACACACACUCAGAUACACACACUUUGAUACACACACUCAGAUACACACAGACACAUAGGUACACAUACACAGAGGUACACAUGCAGGGGUGUAUUUGUGUGCGAUGUUGGCGUACGCAUGCUGGUAUGUAUGCAUUGCCACAUAAACAGAUGCACACUUACACAAACACUGAGAUACACACAGGAUCACAGAUACACAUGCAGUGGUGUAUUUGAGGGCAAUGUUAACGUUGGAAUGUAGUAGUGUUUUUGUGUGCAGUGUUGGCGCAGGAAUGUAGUAGUGUUUUUGUGUGCAGUGUUGGCACUGGAAUGAUGGUGAGAUGUAUGCAUUGCUACAUGCAUAGAUACACACUUACACACACUGAAACAUAUACACACACAGGUACACAUACACAGACAUGCAGGUACACAUACAAAUUGACACAUAAGUACACAUAUACAGACACAGGUAUACAUACACACUGACACACAGGUGCACAUGCACUGUCAAAAACACAGCCAGAUACACACAUACCGUCAGAUACAUACACUGACACACAUACAGUCAGAUGCAUACACUGACACAAACACAGCCAGAUACACACACUGACACACACAGCCAGAUACACACACACACAGAUAGAUAAACACACUGACAAAAAAAAAACGGCCAGGUGCACACUCAUAGUCAGACACAUACACAGCCAGAUACACACACACACACACACACAGAUACACACACUGACAAAAACACAGCCAGAUACACACACUGUCACAGACCCAGAUACACAACAUAUAGCUAUCAAUUUACACAGUUUAGCCAUCCUCCUUUCUCCUUACCUUUACAGAAGGGUGGCUUUCCAGAUACACAAACAGCCAGAUACACACAUACAGUCAGAUACACACACUGACAAAAACACAGUCAGAUACACACACUGACACACACACACAGCCAGAUAAACACACUGACAAAAAUACAGCCAGGUACACACUCAUAGUCAGAUACAUACACAGCCAGAUACACACAAUGACAAAAACACAGCCAGAUACACACACUGACACAGACUCAGGUACACAUCAUAUAGCUAUCAAUUUACACAGUUUAGCCACCCUCCUUUCUCCUUACCAUUACAGAAGGGUGGCUUCCCUGGGGUCCAGUUGGAGAUGGAUGGCUGAGGUUGAUGGUAGUCUGAGGAACCUGCUAUCUCAGUCCCUCUCAUUCUCCUUGGUGUGUGCCUCCUCCUCCUUUUCUUCCUCCAUUUGUGCCUCCUCCUCCCCAGCAGCACUCUGUUACUUUUGAGGAAGUGGUCUGACAUCACUUCCUCCCAGCAGGCAGAAAGACAUGGCCAGGUCUGGAGCACACUUGAAGGGCCAGAGGCCCCUGAUUACAUCACCUGCUGCAGCCCACCGGGAAAUUUCUCAGGAUCCCAGUGGGCUGUCAGGUCCUGGUUGCAGGCAGGGGGCCCCCCAGGAGUAAUUGGGCCCGGGGCAGCUGCCCAGUUUGCCCCUUGUUAAAGAUGGCCCUGCUGAUGGUACUGAUUUCUAUUUCAUAAUAAGCACUUGUGCCAUAAAUUAUUCCAAAAAAAGACUAGCUUGCCCCUGUAAUAGUUGAAAAACUCACAGUGAUCCAGAUGCAAGUAGUAAGAUAGAUACAGCUGGUGAGCCCGCUGUAUAUCUACCAAUGUCUGACAUAAACAAUUCAUGCUUAAGUCUUAAUGUGCCAAAAGCUAGUUUUUAAAAUCCCUCACUUAUAAAGUUAUAUAAGAAGCUGACCAUAAUAUUUGUAGAGAAAAAAAAAAAAGAGUAUGUUACUCACAGUAUCGAUGGAAAAUCUUAUGGAGCAAUAAAAAUCUGCCAUGAAAGGGGAAGCAAGUAGUUACUGACUUACAUUCAUCCUGGUUUGGCUUUGAGGAAUAUCAAAUGUUCCUUCAUCUCCUUUAUGCUACGUUCAGUCAUCGGGGUGGAACCUCUCUGUACCCUCUGUCUCUCUACCAAGGGAGCACUACCCACUCCGAUGCCCACCACGGCAUUCCAACUCCACAGCAGGGACUCCCUCUGUCUGCUUCCAUGUGUGGCCGCUCCAUCAGGUCGUCAGUUUAUCGCACCUCAGCGCUUGGUUCCUAGAGCGACUAGACGUGCAUGCUCAUGUCAUCACUGCUCCCCCGAUCAGCUCCAGAUAUGUCGCCUGGGCAAUACAAUCCCCACGUAUGGAUAUGUUGCUGAGCUCAUCACCUUAUAGGAAGGUGUUCUAGACCAAGAGAUGACUUGUGGUACCAAGCGUUUGCCAGUAUUCUCCUCCAAAAUGCAGCAUUGUGGCAGUGGAAAUUCACGAGUAUAUGGAAUGAGAAUAAAAACAGAAUCUAGUGCUCUAUAGGACUAGGAUGAAAGUGUAUAAAAGGUGAUAUACGCACAUAAGGAGAGCAAAAAGAAGGAUUUGCUCAAUCCCAUACAGUGUAGGUGGUAUCUUCCCCACCAAGGAAAUAAAAGUGUGAAUCCUGCAGAUAAAAUCUUCAGAGACUAAAUCAGGGAGGUCCAACUUAAAUAAUAGACUUGUUUUACUAUUCAACUUGGACCUUCCUGACUUUAUCUCUGAGUUAAAUCAAUUUGUUUAUACAACUCUAGACAUAGCUCUCUUUAGUGCCUAUAGUGUCCCUUUAAGUAUCUGCUAAAAAACCACUGGAUCUAAAAAUCUAAAAUCUAAAAAUCAUUUGGUGAUUUUUUUUGUUUUUUUACAGUUUGACUAUUUUGACAUUAAUUCACUUUGAAUUUCCAUCAAUUCUCACUAUAUUAAAUAAAUGUUAAGUUGCAAUAGAAAACUAGCUUAGGCAAUUAUACAGAGAGUUUAUGCCUCCCAGUGGUCAUAAGUCAGAUCUACAAAUCUCAUCUACUUUUGAGAUGUGAUUUUCAGGUGUUUGUUGUUUUUCUCUCACGUCUGAAUUAAUACACAUCUACAGUAUCAUACAAAUAAAAUAAUACAUCUAUGCCAGCGGUUCCCAAACUGUGUGCUGCUGCGCCCCUGGGGCACGGCAACAGAAACACAGGGGUGCCGUGUAAUGUUUCUGCUGAACAUUACUGAAACAUUACUGCUGAACAGGGGCCCGAUCGGGUGACACAGUGCUUUAAGACCGCGAUCGGGCCUCUGUAACGUCAGCCGUCUGGGAGUGACAUGCAGUUAGACAGCGCGGGAGGUAGAGGAGACAGCCAAAGCAUUAUGGGAGAGGAGCACAAAGACCUCCAGACCCAUCACUCCCACCAGCAGCAGCAGGACUCCAAGCCCCGUCCUGGACAGGAGGGUGUCUGUGCCUGGAUAUAUUAAAAAUAUCACUAGUGUGUAUGAGUGUGUAUGUAUGCAUGAGUGUGUGUGUAUGUAUUUGUGUGUCUGUGUGUGUGUAUGUAUGAGUGUGUAUGUAUGUGUGUAUAUAUGUAUGUGUGUGUCUGUGUGUGUGCGUGUGGGUGUAUGUAUGUGUGUGUGUGUAUGUAUGAGUGUGUGUGUGUGUGUGUGUGUGUGUGUAUAUAUGUAUGUGUGUGUCUGUGUGUGUGUAUGUAUGAGUGUGGGUGUGUGUCAGGUUGUGCAUCUGUGCAGUCUGUGUCUGUGUCAGUGUCUGUGUGCGCACACACAUCUGUGUGUCAGGAUAUGCAUCUGCGUAUGUGCAUCUGUGUGUCAUUGUAUGUUCUAAAUCAGUGUGUGUAUCUGUAUCAUUCAUGGUGUGUGCAUGUAUCAAUGUUUGUGUGUUUGAGUGCAUGUGUGUGUAUAUGUUGGUGUAUGCAUGUGUUAAGGUAUGUAUCAGUGUGUGUGUAUGUAUAUGUUGGCGUAUGCGUGUUUUAAGGUAUGUAUCAGUGUGUGUGUAUGUGUUGGUGUGUAUCUAUGUGUGUGUAUGUGUCGUGUCUAAAUUAAUUUGUGUGUUAUGUAUGUAUGUGGUAGUGUUUGUGCAUACAUCCAAGCAGUCAUACACCAACACAGCAAACACACUCCUGCAAUCUAACACAAAUAUUACAUACAAACACACCCCUGCAUUCAAACCCCAAAAGGAUAUACAAACACACUGUUUCACUCAAACACAAAUACUUUACAUAAAUGUACACCUGCAUUGAAAAAAGUGAACAAGACAUUCAAAAACACCCCUGCAAUCAAACACAAACAUUACACCCAGGACAUACUUGAAAACGAGAGAAAUCUGAAUGUAUCCUUACUGGUAAAAUAUUUGUCAAUAAUAAUACAAACACACCUCUAUAUUAAAACACAAAAACUAUAUACAAGCACCUCUUCAAACACCAACACUGUACAUUACACUAUAGCGCCAGUAAAUGCCGCAGCGCUGUACAGAUAUACAACCUAGUAAUUUUGACUUGGGGUGCCUUGGAAAAUUAUUAAAAUAUUAAGGGCGCUUUGAACCUAAAAAGUUUGGGAACCACUGAUCUAUGAUAUUGUUUGCAUUUUAAAUGGUUUCUAAUAAAAGUAAAAUUUGAACGCUUUUCCCUGCAUUGUUAGUAAGCACCUUUGUUGUCUUUACUUAGCACAUGAGUUCUUACACUGUUGACAUGAAUUAUAUGAUGUUAAAAACCUUGCUAGUUUUGCCAACUGUUUGUGUUUUACAAAUCAAAAAAACUAUAAAAAAAAGCUUGCUAUAACCAAUAUUUGUGUGUAUAAAUAAAGCAAAGAGUUAAUUUUGACAGUAUAUACAUAUAUUUUUACGUUAGUUCACUGAUUGCAAAUUAUAUUUGUAUUUGUUAGGGAAUCCUGGAAUUGUGUCUGAAGACGGAGGUCCUACAAAUCCAGUUAUGCCACAAUUCGGUAAGUAACGUUAACCAUAUGGGAAUAAACCCAAUCUUUAUAAUGUUGCCUAUGACAGUUUUUAUACGGUUUCAAAAUUAUUUCAGAGUAGGCGUGCAAUACAAAGUAAAUUCUGGAGAAAUGUAUCCAAACAUUAAGGGAAAUAAUAAUCUUAAUAUAUUUUAAUAUUGUGGCAAUAAACCUGGAUCAAAAAUGGUAGCAGGCCCCUUCUCACUUAGUAGAUUGUCUACUGAAAUGCCUUCUGAGAGCUAUCUACAGGUGAUACUCCAAAAAUUAGAAUAUCAUACAAAAGUUCAUUUAUUUCAGUUAUGCAAUAUAAAAGGGGAAACUAAUAUAUGAGAUAAAUGCAUUACAUGCAAAGCAAGAUAGUUCAAGCCGUGAUUUGUCAUAAGUGCGAUGAUUAUGGCUUACAGCUCAUGAAAACCCCAAGUAAUCUCAGUAAAUUAUAAUAUUACAUGCAACAAAUAAAACAAGGAGUGUACAUAGAACAAUAUCAGACCUCUGAAAAGUAUAAGCAUGCAUAUGGACUCAGUACUUGGUUUGGGCCCCUUUUGCAGCAAUUACUGCCUCAAUGCGACAUGGCAUGGAAGCUAUCAGCCUGUGACACUGCUGAGGUGUUAUGGAAGACCAGGAUGUUUCAAUAGCUGCCUUCAGCUCUUCUGCAUUGUUCGGUAUCAUGUCUCUCAUCUUUCUCUUGGCAAUGCCCCAUAAAUUCUCUAUGGGGUUCAGGUCAGGCGAGUUUGCUGGCCAAUCAACCACAGUAAUCCCACGGUCAUUGAACCAGGCUUUGGUGCUUUUGGCAUUGUGGGCAGGUGCCCAGUCCUGCUGGAAAUUGAAGUCAGCAUCCCUAUAAAGCUUCUCUGCGGAAGGAAGCAUGAAGUGCUCCAAAAUCUCCUGGUAGAUUGCUGCGUUGACCCUGGACUUAAUGAGGCACAGUGGACCAACACCAGCAGAUGACAUGGCUCCAGCAGAUGACAUGACUGUAGAAACUUCACACUGGACUUUAAGCAUCUUGCAGUGUGUGCCUCUCCAUUCUUCCUCCAGACUCUGGGUCCUUGGUUUACAAAUGAGAUGCAAAAAUUGCUCUUAUCAGAAAAGAGGACUUUGGACCACUCAGCAACAGACCAGGUCUGUUUUCCUUUAGCCCAGGUAAGAUGCUUCUGGUGUUGUUUGUUGUUCAGAAGCGGCUUGACAAGAGGAAUAGGACAUCUGAAGUCCAUGUCCAGGAUCCGUCUGUGUGUGGUGGCUCUUGAUGCACUCCUUGUGAAAGUCCCCAACACAUUUGAAGGCCUUUUCCUGACAAUCCUCUCCAGGCUGUGGUCAUCCCUGCUGCCUGUGCACCUUUUUCUUCCACACAACUUUCUAUUAAUGUGCUUUGAUACAGCACUUUGGGAACAUCCAACUUCCUUCGCAAUUACCUUUUGAGGCUUUCCCUCCUUAUGGAAGGUGUCAAUGAUGGUUUUCUGCACAACUGUCAGGUCUGCAGUCUUCCCCGUGAUUGUGAUUCGUACUGAACCAGACUGAGAGACCAUUUAAAGGCCCAGAAACCCUUUGCAGGUGUUAUGACUUACUUAGCUGAUUAGAGUGGGACACUGUGAGCCUAGAAUAUUGCACCUUUUCACAAUAUUCUAAUUUACUGAGAUUGUGGAUUUGGGGUUUUCAUGAGCUGUAAGCCAUAAUCAUUGCACUUAUGACAAAUCACGGCUUGAACUAUCUUGCUUUGCAUGUAAUGCGUCUAUCUCAUAUAUUAGUUUCCCCUUUUACGUUGCAUUACUGAAAUAAAUGAACUUUUGCACGAUAUUCUAAUUUUUUGAGUAUCACCUGUAUGUAUUUAGCAUUGAACAUGGAAGCCUCCAGGCAGAUAAAAUAUUUCUCAAAUAUACUUUGUGAAACAUGGAACAAACCCAGAACUAACACAAACAUAAAACACACAAAUAUAGAAAAAAACAUUAGUUUUAUAAUGAAAUUAACAGAGGGGGGAAAAAAACAAGAAAUUAUCUUCAACUAACUCUAAAAUUACAUUUUUCUUUUUUCUUAAGUAAGAUUUUAUUAAAUUAUGGAAAAAUAUAGAUGGAGUUCAGAAACUGAGAAAUUAUUAUAUAUGCUAUAAAUAUAAUGCACUUUACGUGCAGAUAACCCCUAUAGAACUUCAGGAACUUCAGUGUUCUAAGUGUUUUUAAGUGCCUUUUUAAAAACUCUCUGUGAUUGACAGAUUUAUUCACUAUUCAGCAGGGUUAUACAUUAAAGUGAGAAAUAAAAAUAAAUUCAAAAUUGUAUGUGAAAGUUGUCGACUGGAAGCUUAAUUGACUUGGAGAAUUUUUCCACUUCAACCUUUUGGCUUAAAAUUUGAAAUUUUUUGUCUUCUCUUUGAAUUCCCAACAAUUCUCACUGUAGUAUAUAACUGUGCUCUGGUUGACAAAAUGUACAUAUAUUUUUACGUUAGUUUACUGAUUGCAAAUUGUAUUUGUUAGGGAAUCCUGGAAUCGGACCUGUAGACGGAGGUCCUAGAGAUCCAAUUGUGCCAAAAUUUGGUAAGUAGCAUUAACCAUAUGGGAAUAGACCCAAUCUUUACACUGUUUCCUAUGACAGUUUUUGUACGGUUUCAGAAUAAUUUCAGAGUAGACGUGUGGUAUAACCAUUAUAGGGUAAAUAAUAAUAAUAAUAAUCCAACCAGCCAGCACAAGUAUUUCUGUCAGUUAGCAACACAUUUGCUGUAGCACCUGUCUCCAGUUAUCUUGCUGUUAAUUAAGACAACUCUCCAUGCAGUCUAGAAUUUCCCUACUGCCUUGAUGUACAGGUCGUACAUAAAUAGAUUUCUAAUGCAAGGCCAGUCAUUCAUUGUGAGUGUCAGCUGAUGCUGUCAGCCUAUAACAUGCUACCAGUGCAAGACUUCUGCAUUGAAGCUAUAGGCAGUGGAAGAGGGGCCUGUAUGAGGGACAGUGUCUGCAGUACUUUGAGGUUAAACAUUAACGGUUUAAUUCCUUUAAGAAUUGUACUCACUUAAUGACCAUACACUGUCAUGCAGUGCAAGACUUUAACGUCCCUUGAUGGCAUAGACUGUCAUGUUAAAUCCCUGCUUGUAGCAAGGGACUCUCCAGGAUAUUUUUCUGGAGAGUUCCUCUCUGUCAGCUGACAUAUGAGCCAUGUGCAGCUUUCAAAGUAAGCUCUGCGUAUAGCCCUUUAAAUCCUUUUAAAUGCAUUAUUAACUCUGCUCUCAGUAUGCUAUUUAAAAAUAAGGGGACCCCAGGUACCUGGAGUCCCCUCUUUCAGUUGGAACCACAGUUAGAUGGUGGGAUUAAUGGUGGGAUUAAGGGAUGGAGUAGGAGCAAGAUUAUGGGAAAAGGUAUUCAUGUGGGGUAUCAUAGUAAUCGAUAACAGUGGCAAAAUACAAAUAUGGGGUGUUUGCAGUACUGAGACACUCAUGGUCUGUGAAUUUUCCAAAAAUAAAACCCAUGUGCAAACACAAGAAAUGAAUUAAUUUGAUCUUAAUUUAUGAUAAAAUAGUUAAUUGAACAGUGUCAAAAUGCUUUUAGUUACGUUGCAUUGGGGAUGUCCUUUCUACAAAUAUGUACUUUUGGAUUCUGUGACUACUAUGAAAGUUGUUAUCUCAGUAUGCCACAUUUUGCUGAGUUAUAGCUUUAAAACACAUUAAUUCGCUCUAAGAAUGCACUGAAAUCCUGCACAUAUUGCGUAUUUUAACAAUUAGGAACAGUUAGUGAAUCACUUUUGAAUUAGCUUUCUCUAGUUGCACUUUGUGUGUAGAAAUGAUUAAAUGCAAAACUGAGGAAGAUUUUUUUUUUUUUUUUGUUUAUAUAUAUAUGUUAUGUAUACAUAUAGAGUACCAAAAUAAAGCCAUGUUUCUACUUUAAAAAGAGUGAAUUUAUGGAAAAAGUGCCAAAAAGGCCUUUCUCGCAAAAGCAUCACAUCUCAAAAAAGCCUUGGGGCGUAAGGGGUUACGUUUCUUUGUAUGAAAUUAUUUUUUUCAGAAGGUAUUUGUGAAUGCAGAGAAUUAUUUUUAAGAAAUAUCUAAAAAUAAUGUAAUAGGUACUUUUGCUAGAUUGAAAAGCACUCGUCAUAUAUGUUUGUAUAAUGGAGAACUGUUAAAUUGGGAAUUGGUCAUAUAUCGAUCCUUAUAACUGCAAUUUGAUGGGGUUUUUUUGAUUGUGAACUAUAUAUAACGCUAUAGAUAAUCAAACAAAUAUAUAUUAAUGUGGUAAUAUUAAUGUUGUAAUAUUGAAAUUUGUAUAAUUUGUAUAAUUAUUGUAUAUUUGAUAUAUAUAAAAGAAAAAAAAACAUUCAUAAAUAAAAUAAAUAGAAAAAAAAAAGAAAAGCACUCAUCAUAAAAUUUUUUUUAUAUUUCUUUUUAAAGUUGUGAUUAAAUAAUAUAAUUAUUGUAAUUAUUGUGAAUAAAUUGAUUGAGUUUGAUGACAAUGUUACUUUCUUUAUAAAGGUGAAGGAAAAAAGCCACGUUCACAAGGAAUUAUUUGUAAGACCAAAAAUCCUAGACCUGGAGAAGAUGUCAUGCUAGCAUGUUGCAUUAACGGACUGGAUUCAAGUAAUGGCGUGUUCUCUUGGUACAACGGGAUGUUCGCCAUAGUAGACAACAUCCACGCAUUCAACAAAAGUGAUGGCUCUGGCUGCAUUUCCACAGUUACUUUUAAACCAGACAAAUCCGAAACUGAAUGUCAGAUCCGAUUUGAUGCUACCUUUAACUAUGAAACUAUCGAAGAAAAUUAUGUUCUUAAACUGGCUUAAUGAUUGUUCGAUCGGUGAAACGCUAAACCUUGGUAUAGAUGAAGGACAUUAGUCUCGGGUCACUCAUCAGCACAGGGUACUGAUACCUCUUUGUAUAUUACAAUGGACAGCGUAGGAGAGUAACGGAGCUGUUGUGUUGCUCAUAAAAAACACUGAAAUCUUUACUAUGAACAUACAGCGUGAACACACUCACCCAACACAACUCUAAAUCAACAAGAUUUUAGCAUAUUGUAAAGAUGGAUUUAUCAACUUCAGUGCUUUAAGGAUUUGACGUGCCUCUUUAAGAACUUUCUGUGAUUGACAGAUUUAUUCACUAUUCAACAAGGUUAUACACUAAAGCGUAGAAUGCAAAAUAAAUGUAAAAUUUAAUGCGAAAGUUGCGGAGCUGGAAGCAUAGCUAACUAUGAGAACUUGAAUAGUGUUCAAUAUCCCAAUGAGUGAAACCAAAACGUCAAUAAUACUCUAGACACCUUAUGUGGGUAUUCCCUUUAUCCCCACAAAACCACAAAGAUAUACAUACAGUAUAAGGUGGAGUAUAUAAAUAGGAAUUCUUCCAAGUGUAAUGUAAAACAGGAUAAUGUUCUUUAACAAUUCCCUAAAAAUUAACACAAAUAGGGAGAAAGAAUAGUGCAAUAUUGCCAAUACAAAGUUUAUAAUUAUAAUAGGUAGGU
RNAcentral lists this long non-coding RNA (28425 nucleotides) under Pelobates cultripes (western spadefoot toad). Lineage: Eukaryota; Metazoa; Chordata; Amphibia; Anura; Pelobatidae. The record is from RNAcentral.